This 254-nucleotide ribosomal RNA is filed under the name uncultured bacterium. RNAcentral's name for it is "partial 16S ribosomal RNA". It matches the Rfam family "Bacterial small subunit ribosomal RNA", at positions 524 to 776 of the family's 1533-position model. The record is from RNAcentral.
UACGUAGGGGGCGAGCGUUGUCCGGAUUUAUUGGGCGUAAAAGGCUUGUAGGUGGCCACGCCAAGUCGGAUGUGAAAUCUCCCGGCUCAACUGGGAGGGGUCAUUCGAUACUGGCGGGCUCGAGGCCGGUAGGGGGAAGCGGAAUUCCUGGUGUAGCGGUGAAAUGCGCAGAUAUCAGGAGGAACACCGGCGGCGAAGGCGGCACUCUGGGCCGGUACUGACGCUGAGGAGCGAAAGCGUGGGUAGCAAACAGG